This 1352-nucleotide ribosomal RNA is filed under the name uncultured bacterium. Its description in RNAcentral is "bacterial SSU rRNA". It matches the Rfam family "Bacterial small subunit ribosomal RNA", at positions 28 to 1381 of the family's 1533-position model. The record is from RNAcentral.
AUUGAACGCUGGCGGCAUGCCUUACACAUGCAAGUCGAACGGCAGCACGGAGCUUGCUCUGGUGGCGAGUGGCGAACGGGUGAGUAAUAUAUCGGAACGUACCCUAGAGUGGGGGAUAACGUAGCGAAAGUUACGCUAAUACCGCAUACGAUCUAAGGAUGAAAGUGGGGGAUCGCAAGACCUCAUGCUCGUGGAGCGGCCGAUAUCUGAUUAGCUAGUUGGUAGGGUAAAAGCCUACCAAGGCAUCGAUCAGUAGCUGGUCUGAGAGGACGACCAGCCACACUGGAACUGAGACACGGUCCAGACUCCUACGGGAGGCAGCAGUGGGGAAUUUUGGACAAUGGGCGAAAGCCUGAUCCAGCAAUGCCGCGUGAGUGAAGAAGGCCUUCGGGUUGUAAAGCUCUUUUGUCAGGGAAGAAACGGUGAAAGCUAAUAUCUUUUGCUAAUGACGGUACCUGAAGAAUAAGCACCGGCUAACUACGUGCCAGCAGCCGCGGUAAUACGUAGGGUGCAAGCGUUAAUCGGAAUUACUGGGCGUAAAGCGUGCGCAGGCGGUUUUGUAAGUCUGAUGUGAAAUCCCCGGGCUCAACCUGGGAAUUGCAUUGGAGACUGCAAGGCUAGAAUCUGGCAGAGGGGGGUAGAAUUCCACGUGUAGCAGUGAAAUGCGUAGAUAUGUGGAGGAACACCGAUGGCGAAGGCAGCCCCCUGGGUCAAGAUUGACGCUCAUGCACGAAAGCGUGGGGAGCAAACAGGAUUAGAUACCCUGGUAGUCCACGCCCUAAACGAUGUCUACUAGUUGUCGGGUCUUAAUUGACUUGGUAACGCAGCUAACGCGUGAAGUAGACCGCCUGGGGAGUACGGUCGCAAGAUUAAAACUCAAAGGAAUUGACGGGGACCCGCACAAGCGGUGGAUGAUGUGGAUUAAUUCGAUGCAACGCGAAAAACCUUACCUACCCUUGACAUGGCUGGAAUCCUUGAGAGAUCAGGGAGUGCUCGAAAGAGAACCAGUACACAGGUGCUGCAUGGCUGUCGUCAGCUCGUGUCGUGAGAUGUUGGGUUAAGUCCCGCAACGAGCGCAACCCUUGUCAUUAGUUGCUACGAAAGGGCACUCUAAUGAGACUGCCGGUGACAAACCGGAGGAAGGUGGGGAUGACGUCAAGUCCUCAUGGCCCUUAUGGGUAGGGCUUCACACGCCAUACAAUGGUACAUACAGAGCGCCGCCAACCCGCGAGGGGGAGCUAAUCGCAGAAAGUGUAUCGUAGUCCGGAUUGUAGUCUGCAACUCGACUGCAUGAAGUUGGAAUCGCUAGUAAUCGCGGAUCAGCAUGUCGCGGUGAAUACGUCCCCGGGUCU